CUCCCUUGUCCCUUGCUACCGGCUGGGGAUGCUCGGCUCGCCAGCGAUGGGGAUGCUCGGCGGGCAGUCCCUGCUCUCAUUUUCCUCCAGCCUCUGGUAACCCUCCUCCUCACCUGCCUCGCUGAAGCGGGAUUCACAGGGAGCAUCAGGUACAUCUUAUGUGGGGAUGAACCAUCAGCUAAAGGGAGUGAUAGGAAAAUAUUUUGUUGAAUGCAAUGGGAAGGCGAAAAACGACACGCCUUGGCGAAGCAACUCUAAGAUUCGGUAAGGCUAAUCAAGUCUGCAAUCAAAUCCAAGAGCAGGGGCAGAGAAAAACAUUAAAAUACUUUUUAGGGCAGAGAAAACGUUAAAAUACUUUUUAGCUAUUGAUUGAAGUAACUGGUAAUUAGUAGCAGGAGCAACAAUUGUAGUAAGAACCUACCUAGGCAUAUUUUCUCUCUUUCCUAUCACAUGGCACAUUGAAUAACUUUAUAGUACAAAUACAUUCACAUAUGUUAUUUUAAAUUAUCAUGUGAUGGAGGUUCUCGUUAUUUCGAAUCUUUGGUCGGAACCUUCAUUUUGUGUUAUUAAAUGCACAUGGUAUUCAGUUAUCUCCAUUAUGGUGAGAAGACUUUGAUCUUGAUAUAUCAGAUUUAAGCCUCCUACACCAUAGGAGGUCCUCCUUUUGGUGAUAUUCACUCAUAUGUCAUUCUAAAUUAUCAUGUCAUGGAGGUGAUGGGUAUUUCGAAUCUUUGGUUGGAACCUUCAUUUUGCGUUAAAUUCACAUGGUAUUCAGUUAUCUCCAUUAUUGCCAGUAGCAAUGCACAAGCACUUUCUAUUAAAUGCACAUGCUAUUUUCUUUUGUAUCAUGUCAUUUUGUGGUCAUUAACAAUCAGAUGGAUGAAAUUGAUCUUGUUUUGUGCAUCAUGGAUUUUCCUCAACUGAAUGAGUAGAAACAUAAGUGUGUAAUGUAGUAGCCCCUCUAUUCCAUUGUUAUAAAUAUUAUAGUUUUUCAAUCUUCUGACCUGAUCGUAACAGCUGUUUAAAAGGAAGUGAUCACAUCACUAUUUAGAUUUUACUUUUUUUGUAUGCUUAAACAUAAGAUUAGUUUGUCCCCUUUCUUUUUACCCUUCAUGCUAACAUAAUAAAUACAUAUUUGAACUGAAUCGGUUGUAUUACAUAUGCCACGAAGGAUGUCGCCGCUUGAAGCUCAAUUUCCAUCAGCCCCUCUUUUAAUUCACUUGCAUUGUUUCAGCUUUGCAUUGUACUUCUUUGACGAAUUACCUCAUCCAAUCGGCUUUAAUUCGGAGCGUCAGUCUUACUAAUUAUCAUUGCCUUAACUUUUCAUAUGAACCUCUUACAGGAAA
Long non-coding RNA from Triticum aestivum (bread wheat), 1346 nucleotides. RefSeq lists it as uncharacterized. The transcript is spliced from 2 exons. Lineage: Eukaryota; Viridiplantae; Streptophyta; Magnoliopsida; Poales; Poaceae. The record is from RefSeq and is a predicted model, not a curated record.